The sequence is a transfer RNA, 68 nucleotides long. It matches the Rfam family "tRNA". From Rfam's summary of the family: Transfer RNA (tRNA) molecules are approximately 80 nucleotides in length. Their secondary structure includes four short double-helical elements and three loops (D, anti-codon, and T loops). Further hydrogen bonds mediate the characteristic L-shaped molecular structure. tRNAs have two regions of fundamental functional importance: the anti-codon, which is responsible for specific mRNA codon recognition, and the 3' end, to which the tRNAs corresponding amino acid is attached (by aminoacyl-tRNA synthetases). tRNAs cope with the degeneracy of the genetic code in two manners: having more than one tRNA (with a specific anti-codon) for a particular amino acid; and 'wobble' base-pairing, i.e. permitting non-standard base-pairing at the 3rd anti-codon position.
AUGAUAAUUAGUUUAAGCCAAAACAAACGAUUUCGACUCGUUAGAUUAUGAUUAACCUCAUAAUUAUC